RNAcentral lists this ribosomal RNA (1149 nucleotides) under Triticum aestivum (bread wheat). RNAcentral describes it as "partial small subunit ribosomal RNA". The record is from RNAcentral. Lineage: Eukaryota; Viridiplantae; Streptophyta; Magnoliopsida; Poales; Poaceae.
AUGAAAAUUCUCAGUUGGAACUAUCGAGGGCUGGGACAACCUCGUAUGGUUCAGGAGCUUGUGUGCAUGACUAAGACGCACCGUCCAAAUGUUAUUUUUCUUUUGGAAACUAGGAAAAAUAAAGAGUAUGUUAAGCUUUUGAGGUACUGGUUGGGUAUGAAUAAUGUGUUUACUGUUUCUGGCCAUGGUAAAGGUGGAGGUCUAGCCGUAUUUUGGGAUGGAGCAUAUUCUUGUGAGCUGAACAAAUAUGGUGAACAUUUUGUGGACAUGUACGUCAACAAGGGACGUAUUAGUACAAAGUGGAGGUGCACAUUUAUUUGUGGAGAGCCUAAGGUGAGCCAGAGGUAUGUUAUGUGGGAUCUUUUGAGGUGGAUUAAACCUCUUGGUGUCGUACCUUGGUUUAUGGUGGGGGAUUUUAACAAAGCUAUGUGGCAAAAUGAACAUUUCUCUCGACAUAAGAGAUCUCCUAGACUCGUGGCUAACUUUCGUGAAGUUCUGUCGGAGUGCAAUUUAUUUUAUUUGGGCUUUCAAGGUGCUCCGUGGACAUAUAAUAAUAUGCAAGAGGGCAACAAGAAUGUUAAGGUACGUCUUGACCGUGCAGUGGCAUGCCCUCUUUGGUCUUCUAUUUUCCCUCAAUGUAAGGUCUCCCAUAUUAUUAGCUCCAGAUCUAAUCAUUGCCCCAUUUUAAUUGAGUUGUUGGGUAAUGCUCGUGAGGGGAGGGUUGCUAGAGAGUUGAAAUAUGAAUCUUACUGGGAGCAGGAAGGUCGUGUUUUGGAUGAACAGAUUAAUGAUUGUUGGAAUAGAGGAUCAAAUAUAAAGGAUCUGAAAGAUAUUUCCAAUAAUUUAGAAAAAUUAAUGAAAUCUCUUCAUGGAUGGAGUCAGGUGCAUAUUGGGUAUCUACCUAAGAAACUUGACUGGGCUCGUAAGAGACUAGACAUUUUGUUAAAUAGAACUGAUCAUUCUGCUGUGUUGGAAAGAAAGAGAAUUCUAGGGGAGAUGGAUGAACUUCUUAUCAGGGAAGAAAUAUUGUGGAAGCAGAGAUCUCGUCUGGACAAGAUUAAAGGGGGAGAUCGUAAUACAAAAUAUUUUCAGCGAAAAGCUCUCGAAAGAGCAAAAAAUAUAUUCUAUUUUGGCUCUUUGGAAGGAUGA